RNAcentral lists this ribosomal RNA (977 nucleotides) under uncultured bacterium. Its description in RNAcentral is "bacterial SSU rRNA". It matches the Rfam family "Bacterial small subunit ribosomal RNA", at positions 465 to 1443 of the family's 1533-position model. The record is from RNAcentral.
CACUGUGACGGUAUNUUACCAGAAAGGGACGGCUAANUACGUGCCAGCAGCCGCGGUAAUACGUAGNUCCCGAGCGUUGUCCGGAUUUAUUGGGCGUAAAGCGAGCGCAGGCGGUUAGAUAAGUCUGAAGUUAAAGGCUGUGGCUUAACCAUAGUACGCUUUGGAAACUGUUUAACUUGAGUGCAAGAGGGGAGAGUGGAAUUCCAUGUGUAGCGGUGAAAUGCGUAGAUAUAUGGAGGAACACCGGUGGCGAAAGCGGCUCUCUGGCUUGUAACUGACGCUGAGGCUCGAAAGCGUGGGGAGCAAACAGGAUUAAAUACCCUGGUAGUCCACGCCGUAAACGAUGAGUGCUAGGUAUUAGACCCUUUCCGGGGUUUAGUGCCGCAGCUAACGCAUUAAGCACUCCGCCUGGGGAGUACGACCGCAAGGUUGAAACUCAAAGGAAUUGACGGGGGCCCGCACAAGCGGUGGAGCAUGUGGUUUAAUUCGAAGCAACGCGAAGAACCUUACCAGGUCUUGACAUCCCUCUGACCGCUCUAGAGAUAGAGCUUUCCUUCGGGACAGAGGUGACAGGUGGUGCAUGGUUGUCGUCAGCUCGUGUCGUGAGAUGUUGGGUUAAGUCCCGCAACGAGCGCAACCCCUAUUGUUAGUUGCCAUCAUUCAGUUGGGCACUCUAGCGAGACUGCCGGUAAUAAACCGGAGGAAGGUGGGGAUGACGUCAAAUCAUCAUGCCCCUUAUGACCUGGGCUACACACGUGCUACAAUGGCUGGUACAACGAGUCGCAAGCCGGUGACGGCAAGCUAAUCUCUUAAAGCCAGUCUCAGUUCGGAUUGUAGGCUGCAACUCGCCUACAUGAAGUCGGAAUCGCUAGUAAUCGCGGAUCAGCACGCCGCGGUGAAUACGUUCCCGGGCCUUGUACACACCGCCCGUCACACCACGAGAGUUUGUAACACCCGAAGUCGGUGAGGUAACCUUU